Molecule: ribosomal RNA, 460 nt
Filed under: uncultured bacterium
Lineage: Bacteria
Description: partial 16S ribosomal RNA
Rfam family: Bacterial small subunit ribosomal RNA
Source: RNAcentral
CCUACGGGUGGCUGCAGUGAGGAAUAUUGGUCAAUGGCCGUAAGGCUGAACCAGCCAAGUAGCGUGAGGGAAGACUGCCCUAUGGGUUGUAAACCUCUUUUAUGCGGGGAUAAAGGUGUCCACGUGUGGAUGUUUGCAGGUACCGCAUGAAUAAGGACCGGCUAAUUCCGUGCCAGCAGCCGCGGUAAUACGGAAGGGCAGGGCGUUAUCCGGAUUUAGUGGGGUUAAACGGAACGUAGAUGGGUUGUCAAGGCAGUUGGGAAAGUUUGCGGCUCAACCGUAAAAUUGCAAUUGAUACUGGCAGCCUUGAGUACAGUUGAGGUAGGCGGAAUUCGUGGUGUAGCGGUGAAAUGCUUAGAUAUAACGAAGAACUCCGAUUGCGAAGGCAGCUUACUAACCUGCCACUGACAUUGAUGCUCGAAAGUGUGGGUAGCAAACAGGAUUAGAUACCCAAGUAGUC